GGGGAAUAUUGCGCAAUGGGGGGAACCCUGACGCAGCAACGCCGCGUGAAGGAAGAAGGCCUUCGGGUUGUAAACUUCUUUGAUUGGGGACGAAUAAUGACGGUACCCAAAAAACAAGCCACGGCUAACUACGUGCCAGCAGCCGCGGUAAUACGUAGGUGGCGAGCGUUGUCCGGAAUUACUGGGUGUAAAGGGCGUGUAGGCGGGGGAGCAAGUCAGAUGUGAAAUCCCGGGGCUCAACUCUGGAGUUGCAUCUGAAACUGUUUUUCUUGAGUGCUGGAGAGGAAAGCGGAAUUCCUAGUGUAGCGGUGAAAUGCGUAGAUAUUAGGAGGAACACCAGUGGCGAAGGCGGCUUUCUGGACAGUAACUGACGCUGAGGCGCGAAAGCGUGGGGAGCAAAC
Molecule: ribosomal RNA, 401 nt
Filed under: uncultured bacterium
Lineage: Bacteria
Description: bacterial SSU rRNA
Rfam family: Bacterial small subunit ribosomal RNA
Source: RNAcentral